This 65-nucleotide transfer RNA is filed under the name Trinomys paratus. RNAcentral describes it as "tRNA-Lys". The record is from RNAcentral. Lineage: Eukaryota; Metazoa; Chordata; Mammalia; Rodentia; Echimyidae.
CAUUAUGAAGCUAAUUAGCAUCAACCUUUUAAGUUGAAGAUUGGGAGCCCUACUCCCCAUAAUGA